GAUGAACGCUGGCGGCGUGCCUAAUACAUGCAAGUCGAGCGAACGGACGAGAAGCUUGCUUCUCUGAUGUUAGCGGCGGACGGGUGAGUAACACGUGGAUAACCUACCUAUAAGACUGGGAUAACUUCGGGAAACCGGAGCUAAUACCGGAUAAUAUUUUGAACCGCAUGGUUCAAAAGUGAAAGACGGUCUUGCUGUCACUUAUAGAUGGAUCCGCGCUGCAUUAGCUAGUUGGUAAGGUAACGGCUUACCAAGGCAACGAUGCAUAGCCGACCUGAGAGGGUGAUCGGCCACACUGGAACUGAGACACGGUCCAGACUCCUACGGGAGGCAGCAGUAGGGAAUAUUGCGCAAUGGGCGAAAGCCUGACGGAGCAACGCCGCGUGAGUGAUGAAGGUCUUCGGAUCGUAAAACUCUGUUAUUAGGGAAGAACAGAUGUGUAAGUAACUGUGCACAUCUUGACGGUACCUAAUCAGAAAGCCACGGCUAACUACGUG
RNAcentral lists this ribosomal RNA (497 nucleotides) under uncultured bacterium. RNAcentral's name for it is "partial 16S ribosomal RNA". It matches the Rfam family "Bacterial small subunit ribosomal RNA", at positions 28 to 507 of the family's 1533-position model. The record is from RNAcentral.